RNAcentral lists this ribosomal RNA (298 nucleotides) under uncultured bacterium. RNAcentral describes it as "partial 16S ribosomal RNA". It matches the Rfam family "Bacterial small subunit ribosomal RNA", at positions 335 to 630 of the family's 1533-position model. The record is from RNAcentral.
AUUCCUACGGGAGGCAGCAGUGAGGAAUAUUGGUCAAUGGGCGCGAGCCUGAACCAGCCAAGUAGCGUGAAGGAUGACUGCCCUACGGGUUGUAAACUUCUUUUAUAAAGGAAUAAAGUGAGGCACGUGUGCCUUUUUGUAUGUACUUUAUGAAUAAGGAUCGGCUAACUCCGUGCCAGCAGCCGCGGUAAUACGGAGGAUACGAGCGUUAUCCGGAUUUAUUGGGUUUAAAGGGAGCGUAGAUGGGCUGUUAAGUCAGUUGUGAAAGGUUGCGGGUCAACGGUGAAAUUGCAUUUGA